RNAcentral lists this ribosomal RNA (579 nucleotides) under uncultured bacterium. Its description in RNAcentral is "bacterial SSU rRNA". It matches the Rfam family "Bacterial small subunit ribosomal RNA", at positions 102 to 680 of the family's 1533-position model. The record is from RNAcentral.
ACGGGUGAGUAACACGUGAGUAACCUGCCCAAGACUCUGGGAUAAGCCUGGGAAACUGGGUCUAAUACUGGAUGCCGACUUCCCACCGCAUGGUGGGGGGUUGAAAGGCUUUUGUUGGUUUUGGAUGGACUCGCGGCCUAUCAGCUUGUUGGUGGGGUAAUGGCCUACCAAGGCGACGACGGGUAGCCGGCCUGAGAGGGUGACCGGCCACACUGGGACUGAGACACGGCCCAGACUCCUACGGGAGGCAGCAGUGGGGAAUAUUGCACAAUGGGCGAAAGCCUGAUGCAGCGACGCCGCGUGAGGGAUGACGGCCUUCGGGUUGUAAACCUCUUUCAGUAGGGAACAAGGCCGGCACUUGUGUUGGUUGAGGGUACUUGCAGAAGAAGCGCCGGCUAACUACGUGCCAGCAGCCGCGGUAAUACGUAGGGCGCAAGCGUUAUCCGGAAUUAUUGGGCGUAAAGAGCUCGUAGGCGGUUUGUCGCGUCUGCCGUGAAAGUCCGGGGCUCAACCCCGGAUCUGCGGUGGGUACGGGCAGACUAGAGUGAUGUAGGGGAGACUGGAAUUCCUGGUGUAGCG